UCCGGUUUGUCACCGGCAGUCUCCCUAGAGUGCCCUUGCGUAGCAACUAGGGACAAGGGUUGCGCUCGUUGCGGGACUUAACCCAACAUCUCACGACACGAGCUGACGACAGCCAUGCACCACCUGUCAUGGGCCCUUUCGGACACCGUAUCUCUACGGCUUUUCCCAUGAUGUCAAACCCAGGUAAGGUUCUUCGGGUCGCAUCGAAUUAAGCCGCAUGCUCCGCCGCUUGUGCGGGGACCCGUCAAUUCCUUUGAGUUUUAGCCUUGCGGCCGUACUCCCCAGGCGGGGCACUUAAUGCGUUAGCUUCGGCACGGCAACCGUUGAUCGGGGACAACUCGGAGGAAGGUGGGAUGACGUGUCCUUGAUAGG
RNAcentral lists this unclassified non-coding RNA (372 nucleotides) under uncultured Acidimicrobiia bacterium. Its description in RNAcentral is "contains 16S-23S intergenic spacer region". The record is from RNAcentral. Lineage: Bacteria; Bacillati; Actinomycetota; Acidimicrobiia.